GAUCCUGGCUCAGGAUGAACGCUGGCGGCGUGCUUAACACACGCAAGUCGAGCGAAGCACUUUAAUUGGAUUUCUUCGGAAUGACGAGUAUUGUGACUGAGCGGCGGACGGGUGAGUAACGCGUGGGUAACCUGCCUCAUACAGGGGGAUAACAGUUAGAAAUGACUGCUAAUACCGCAUAAGACCACAGCACCGCAUGGUGCAGGGGUAAAAACUCCGGUGGUAUGAGAUGGACCCGCG
RNAcentral lists this ribosomal RNA (240 nucleotides) under uncultured bacterium. RNAcentral describes it as "partial 16S ribosomal RNA". It matches the Rfam family "Bacterial small subunit ribosomal RNA", at positions 15 to 235 of the family's 1533-position model. The record is from RNAcentral.